Ostrea edulis (European flat oyster) is the source of this 351-nucleotide long non-coding RNA. RefSeq lists it as uncharacterized. Lineage: Eukaryota; Metazoa; Mollusca; Bivalvia; Ostreida; Ostreidae. The transcript is spliced from 2 exons. The record is from RefSeq and is a predicted model, not a curated record.
AUAACGGAACUAUAAAAAAAACUGUGAUGGUCUUACUAAAGUGAACUUGGGAUAUGAUUGCUCUCAUUCUAACGAUUUUAUUCCGUUUUCUUGACAACCAAAUCGGAAAGCAAUAUUAAUGAAUUGACAUUUUUGUCCUGGUGCCAAAUCCCAUCAUUGUAUGAAGAUUAAAGAAAACCUUUGAACAUGCGUGCUGUACAGUCCACACUUUAGAAAUGAUAAAUACCUUUUAAUUCGUUUGCUCUUUAUUUCCACCUCAAAUCACUACGUACGCAAACUCAAACGUUGAAAAAAUAUUGAUUUUCUAAAUUUGAUUUUAAUUCUCAUAUUGUAAAACACUGUCAGGAAAAA